AUACGGAGGGUGCGAGCGUUAAUCGGAAUUACUGGGCGUAAGGCGUACGUAGGCGGUUGGUUAAGUUAGAUGUGAAAGCCCCGGGCUUAACCUGGGAACUGCAUUUAAAACUGGCGAACUAGAGUUGAGUAGAGGGGAGUGGAAUUUCAGGUGUAGCGGUGAAAUGCGUAGAGAUCUGAAGGAACACCAGUGGCGAAGGCGACUCCCUGGACUCGAACUGACGCUGAGGUACGAAAGCGUAGGUAGCAAACGGGAUUAGAAACCCCAGUAGUCC
Molecule: ribosomal RNA, 274 nt
Filed under: uncultured bacterium
Lineage: Bacteria
Description: partial 16S ribosomal RNA
Rfam family: Bacterial small subunit ribosomal RNA
Source: RNAcentral